Molecule: transfer RNA, 76 nt
Filed under: Deltaproteobacteria bacterium
Lineage: Bacteria; Pseudomonadati; Myxococcota; Myxococcia
Also listed under: 2 other names
Description: tRNA-Val
Rfam family: tRNA
About the family: Transfer RNA (tRNA) molecules are approximately 80 nucleotides in length. Their secondary structure includes four short double-helical elements and three loops (D, anti-codon, and T loops).
Source: RNAcentral
GGGCGGGUAGCUCAGUUGGGAGAGCGUCGGCCCUACAAGCCGAAGGUCACAGGUUCAAGCCCUGUUCCGCCUACCA